Molecule: ribosomal RNA, 666 nt
Filed under: uncultured Bacilli bacterium
Lineage: Bacteria; Bacillati; Bacillota; Bacilli
Description: bacterial SSU rRNA
Rfam family: Bacterial small subunit ribosomal RNA
Source: RNAcentral
AAUUUGGUGCUUGCACCAGAUGAAACUAGAUACAAGCGAGCGGCGGACGGGUGAGUAACACGUGGGUAACCUGCCCAAGAGACUGGGAUAACACCUGGAAACAGAUGCUAAUACCGGAUAACAACACUAGACGCAUGUCUAGAGUUUAAAAGAUGGUUCUGCUAUCACUCUUGGAUGGACCUGCGGUGCAUUAGCUAGUUGGUAAGGUAACGGCUUACCAAGGCAAUGAUGCAUAGCCGAGUUGAGAGACUGAUCGGCCACAUUGGGACUGAGACACGGCCCAAACUCCUACGGGAGGCAGCAGUAGGGAAUCUUCCACAAUGGACGCAAGUCUGAUGGAGCAACGCCGCGUGAGUGAAGAAGGGUUUCGGCUCGUAAAGCUCUGUUGGUAGUGAAGAAAGAUAGAGGUAGUAACUGGCCUUUAUUUGACGGUAAUUACUUAGAAAGUCACGGCUAACUACGUGCCAGCAGCCGCGGUAAUACGUAGGUGGCAAGCGUUGUCCGGAUUUAUUGGGCGUAAAGCGAGUGCAGGCGGUUCAAUAAGUCUGAUGUGAAAGCCUUCGGCUCAACCGGAGAAUUGCAUCAGAAACUGUUGAACUUGAGUGCAGAAGAGGAGAGUGGAACUCCAUGUGUAGCGGUGGAAUGCGUAGAUAUAUGGAAGAACAC